UGGCGGCCAUAAUGCAGAGCUCUCGCUCGCCAAAAUUACACCUGCUCUGCAAGCUAGCUCUGAGAAGGUGCAAGGUCAUUCGAUAGAAAGUUUUCUUUAUUUUGUUGAAGGGCCCAGAUAUCAAUUUCAAGGAGAAAUUGGUUUUCCAGCAUGAAAUGGGUGAUAAACAAUGAUAUUUAAUAAUUAUUUCAUAGCCUUGAAUCUACAUCUUGAAUACUUUAAACGUAUGUUUCACGUGUCAAAACACUUACAGGGUGAUAGGUUUCUUUGAAGUGCGAGGCUAGUUCAGCUGAGUGUUCAGCUGAUGCAUGGCAACCCGAACUUUUUGCACUUGAACCAAAAGUAAGACUGGCAGCGACUGGCAGCUAACAUACUUACGAAUUGUGCGCGUGUCAACUUGUAAGUGAGCUGUCAAGUUGGGGAGACUCAAAGUUGAUCAAGAAAUUCCUAUCAACUCAUCUGUUCGUCAAGUAACAAAAAGCUACAAUGAGUUAGCGACACAUUCCUUGCUUGGAGAAGUGCCCUGUCAUUAUGAUCGGCAACAUAAAGUUACCAAAAAGCGUGGAAAAGAUGCAAGUGACCAAGUCAAGAUCAGCUGUAGUUUUUUCUCCAGUUGGUAGAAAUGUUGGUGCCAGUUUUCUUGGUCAAUCACAAAGUGAAGUAAGGCAAAACCAAAUUACGUCUCUUGCAUUACUUUUCAAACUUAUGGGAAAUUGCUCUUCUCUAAUGUUCUAAGAAAGUACUCAAAAUUCUACUAAAUGAAGCUGUACUAUGCCAGAUAUGCAAAACCACCUAAAAAGAACCAAUCAACGGAUGUCAGUGGUAAAUAAAUA
Molecule: long non-coding RNA, 833 nt
Organism: Pocillopora damicornis (cauliflower coral)
Lineage: Eukaryota; Metazoa; Cnidaria; Anthozoa; Scleractinia; Pocilloporidae
Source: RefSeq, a predicted model, not a curated record